GGUGUUGAGGGGAAUGUUGGCUGGCUCGAGGCUAUUUUCCAGUUAAAAAAGAUCAACAGGAAAUUCUCUGGAGUAUUACUUCGGACCAGGCUUCAUUCCCCUCAAAACA
This 109-nucleotide microRNA precursor is filed under the name Orobanche cernua var. cumana. RNAcentral describes it as "miR166a". It matches the Rfam family "mir-166 microRNA precursor family". From Rfam's summary of the family: This family represents the plant microRNA (miRNA) precursor mir-166. Animal miRNAs are transcribed as ~70nt precursors and subsequently processed by the Dicer enzyme to give a ~22nt product. The record is from RNAcentral. Lineage: Eukaryota; Viridiplantae; Streptophyta; Magnoliopsida; Lamiales; Orobanchaceae.